GAGACAUCAGCCAGGAGUUUGGUCCUGGACUUCUAAUCUCCAGAACUGUGAUAAGAAACAGAAUGUACGCUGACCCUGUUUGUGGACUCUGCUAUGUUUCCCUGACUCCGAAGGUGAUGGGAAGCCCUCUUAAAAGUGCUGUUAUCCGUCUCGUCCUUUGAACCAAGGGUCUGCGUUUGGUACGCGUUCUAGCCCGUGUCUCAGAACGUACACGGUGCUUUUGGACCCGGGGUUGUGGCUGAUGGGGUGUGUGGAGGUUGCCCGGUGGUGGAAUCUCAGGCUUUGCCACCUGAUCCUCUCCCAAGUACAAGAGCAAAUGGAGUGUGCAGCUGUUACAGCCACUUCUAGUCUAGUCUCCGUUCCAGAAGACGAAAGCAGGGAGAAGUGCCACACAGAGGGAUCGUUUGGUGUCCUCGAUGGUCGGAAGCGUGAAUCAACCCGAUGGGAUGCAGCGAAUCACACGAGCUGUUGGAGAAAGCCGAGGAGCCACCCCACAUCGCGGCGUGCUCUGGUCUCCACGCACAGAGGACGGUGGCUUCUCUCCCCUGGAGCAGCGCCGAAGUCAGAGCAGCCCGAGACCAGUCGUGAGAGCCGGGGUGCUCUGGGGAUGGCAAUUUGGGAGCCGUCAGGUGAGAGCUGGUUCCGACCAUAACUCCAAAUCCGUGUGGUUAUUCAGACGAGCCAAUCAGCACUGCAUAUUUGAUAAGCAAACUCAAUAAUCAUUUAUAAUCCUGACAGGUUAAGGGUCUCCA
Long non-coding RNA from Acinonyx jubatus (cheetah), 752 nucleotides. RefSeq lists it as uncharacterized. Lineage: Eukaryota; Metazoa; Chordata; Mammalia; Carnivora; Felidae. The transcript has 3 exons. The record is from RefSeq and is a predicted model, not a curated record.